UACGUAGGGUGCAAGCAUUAAUCGGAAUCAUUGGGCGUAAAGCGCGUGUAGGCGGCUUGGCAAGUCGGAUGUGAAAUCCCGGGGCUCAACCCCGGAACUGCAUUCGAAACUGCCUCGCUAGAGUCCCGGAGAGGAGGGCGGAAUUCCCGGUGUAGAGGUGAAAUUCGUAGAUAUCGGGAGGAACACCAGUGGCGAAGGCGGCCCUCUGGACGGUGACUGACGCUGAGAUGCGAAAGCGUGGGGAGCAAACAGG
RNAcentral lists this ribosomal RNA (253 nucleotides) under uncultured bacterium. RNAcentral describes it as "partial 16S ribosomal RNA". It matches the Rfam family "Bacterial small subunit ribosomal RNA", at positions 524 to 776 of the family's 1533-position model. The record is from RNAcentral.